CAGUCGCCACGGGAAUACGUAGGUGGCGAGCGUUGUCCGGAAUUAUUGGGCGUAAAGGGAGCGCAGGCGGACAUAUAAGUCCAUCUUAAAAGUGCGGGGCUCAACCCCGUGAGGGGAUGGAAACUGUAUGCCUUGAGUGCAGGAGAGGAAAGCGGAAUUCCCAGUGUAGCGGUGAAAUGCGUAGAUAUUGGGAGGAACACCAGUGGCGAAGGCGGCUUUCUGGACUGCAACUGACGCUGAGGCUCGAAAGCCAGGGGAGCGAACGGGAUUAGAUACCCCAGUAGUCCCUGUCUCUUAUACA
Molecule: ribosomal RNA, 301 nt
Filed under: uncultured bacterium
Lineage: Bacteria
Description: partial 16S ribosomal RNA
Rfam family: Bacterial small subunit ribosomal RNA
Source: RNAcentral